UGGUACACAAGUCACUGGCCUGGAACUC
This 28-nucleotide non-coding RNA is filed under the name Homo sapiens (human). Lineage: Eukaryota; Metazoa; Chordata; Mammalia; Primates; Hominidae. The record is from RNAcentral.